CCCCGUCCAACGCCUUCAACACUUCUCCCCCUUUCCUCCCCAUCUCGUGCUUCCUUUUUUUUGCCCAAACAAGACUUAACCUUGAGAAAAAAGACAAGAGAGGGAACAACCUUGGAGAAGGAACUUCAAGUGAAGAGAGCUCGAGUUUGGGAAGACUUCGCUAUGAAAUGGGUGUUUAAAUGCAAUCCAAACAUACGAAUCGUAUACAGAAUCUCAAGGCAUAUACCUCUUCAAUAUUACUUUGGUUUUUAUUUGUCUUUAAUUUAAUUUAGUAGUUAUUGUAUUCAUGUGAAACCAAACUCUUUGCUUUGCUUGUCUCGCUUUCUCUCUGCAAUCUUAUUUUUAUUUGUUA
Molecule: long non-coding RNA, 352 nt
Organism: Tarenaya hassleriana
Lineage: Eukaryota; Viridiplantae; Streptophyta; Magnoliopsida; Brassicales; Cleomaceae
Exons: 2
Source: RefSeq, a predicted model, not a curated record